CGUCAGGACGAACGCUGGCGGCGUGCUUAACACAUGCAAGUCGAACGAGGAUAGUCGUGGAAGGACUCGGUUGGAAAUGAUAUCGAGUGGCGGACGGGUGAGUAACGCGUGAGCAAUCUGUCCCAGACAGGGGGAUAACACUUGGAAACAGGUGCUAAUACCGCAUGAGACCACGGGGAGGCAUCUUCCUGGGGUAAAAAGGAGAAAUCCGGUUUGGGGUGAGUUCGCGUCCGAUUAGAUAGUUGGUGAGGUAACGGCUCACCAAGUCGACGAUCGGUAGCCGACCUGAGAGGGUGAUCGGCCACAUUGGAACUGAGAGACGGUCCAAACUCCUACGGGAGGCAGCAGUGGGGAAUAUUGGGCAAUGGGCCGAAAGCCUGACCCAGCAACGCCGCGUGAGUGAAGAAGGCCUUCGGGUUGUAAAGCUCUGUUAUAGGGGACGAAGGAAGUGACGGUACCCUAUAAGGAAGCCCCGGCUAACUACGUGCCAGCCGCCGC
This 498-nucleotide ribosomal RNA is filed under the name uncultured bacterium. RNAcentral describes it as "bacterial SSU rRNA". It matches the Rfam family "Bacterial small subunit ribosomal RNA", at positions 22 to 518 of the family's 1533-position model. The record is from RNAcentral.